GCCCGCGUACCAACGCAGUUCUGCACCGUUUAAAAUCAACAGUUUGCCCGCGUAUCGUUCCCGCCUUCUAAGCGGGUAGCCGUAGUGGAUCAGGCAGGUUCGAUUCCUGCGGCGGGCUCCA
RNAcentral lists this transfer RNA (121 nucleotides) under Brucella intermedia. RNAcentral describes it as "tRNA-Arg". The record is from RNAcentral. Lineage: Bacteria; Pseudomonadati; Pseudomonadota; Alphaproteobacteria; Hyphomicrobiales; Brucellaceae.